UGGGUAACCUGCCUCAAAGAGGGGAAUAGCCUCCCGAAAGGGAGAUUAAUACCGCAUAAUAUGUUUAAGUCGCAUGACUUUAACAUCAAAGGAUUUUCUUUUAGAAAUUCCACUUUGAGAUGGACCCGCGGCGCAUUAGCUAGUUGGUGAGGUAACGGCUCACCAAGGCAACGAUGCGUAGCCGACCUGAGAGGGUNAUCGGCUACAUCGGAACUGAGACACGGUCCAGACUCCGUAGGGAG
RNAcentral lists this ribosomal RNA (242 nucleotides) under uncultured bacterium. Its description in RNAcentral is "partial 16S ribosomal RNA". It matches the Rfam family "Bacterial small subunit ribosomal RNA", at positions 118 to 347 of the family's 1533-position model. The record is from RNAcentral.